UACGUAGGGGGCGAGCGUUGUCCGGAUUUAUUGGGCGUAAAAGGCUUGUAGGUGGCCACGUCAAGUCGGAUGUGAAAUCUCCCGGCUCAACUGGGAGGGGUCAUUCGAUACUGGCGGGCUCGAGGCCGGUAGGGGGAAGCGGAAUUCCCGGUGUAGUGGUGGAAUGCGUAGAUAUCGGGAGGAACACCAGUGGCGAAGGCGGCUUCCUGGACCGGUUCUGACACUGAGGAGCGAAAGCUAGGGGAGCAAACAGG
This 254-nucleotide ribosomal RNA is filed under the name uncultured bacterium. RNAcentral describes it as "partial 16S ribosomal RNA". It matches the Rfam family "Bacterial small subunit ribosomal RNA", at positions 524 to 776 of the family's 1533-position model. The record is from RNAcentral.